Molecule: ribosomal RNA, 245 nt
Filed under: uncultured bacterium
Lineage: Bacteria
Description: partial 16S ribosomal RNA
Rfam family: Bacterial small subunit ribosomal RNA
Source: RNAcentral
GACGAACGCUGGCGGCGUGCUUAACACAUGCAAGUCGAGCGGUAAGGCCCUUCGGGUACACGAGCGGCGAACGGGUGAGUAACACGUGGGUGACCUGCCCUUAGCUCUGGGAUAAAGCCUGGGAAACUAGGGUCUAAUAACCGGAUAUGACCUCAUGACGCAUGCUGUGGGGUGGAAAGCCUUGUGCGGCUAGGGAUGGGGCCCGCGGCCUAUCAGCUUGUUGGUGGGGUGAUGGCCUACCAAGG